This 408-nucleotide ribosomal RNA is filed under the name uncultured bacterium. RNAcentral describes it as "partial 16S ribosomal RNA". It matches the Rfam family "Bacterial small subunit ribosomal RNA", at positions 29 to 526 of the family's 1533-position model. The record is from RNAcentral.
AGUGAACGCUGGCGGCGUGCCUAAUACAUGCAAGUCGAACGGAGUGGCGCACGGGUGAGUAAUAUAUAGCUAAUCUGCCCCUUGCUGGAGGACAACAGUUAGAAAUGACUGCUAAUACUCCAUAGCAAGGGAGGAGACUAUAUCGUAUCAGCUAGUCGGUGGGGUGACGGCCUACCGAGGCUAUGACGCGUAACUGGUCUGAGAGGAUGAUCAGUCACAGUGGAACAUAGACACGGUCCAAACACUUACGGGAGGGGGCAGUAGGCAAUAGUGCGCAAUGGGGGAGACUCUGAAGCAGCAUCGGCGCGUGGAGGAUGACACUGUUCGGAGCGUAAACUCGUUUGGAUAGGUAAGCGGUACCUAACGAAUAAGCACCGGCUAACUCCGUGCCAGCAGCCGCGGUAAUUC